Molecule: ribosomal RNA, 506 nt
Filed under: uncultured bacterium
Lineage: Bacteria
Description: partial 16S ribosomal RNA
Rfam family: Bacterial small subunit ribosomal RNA
Source: RNAcentral
GAUGAACGCUAGCUACAGGCUUAACACAUGCAAGUCGAGGGGUAACGAGAGGAAAGCUUGCUUUCCUUGUCGACGACCGGCGCACGGGUGAGUAACGCGUAUCCAACCUGCCCCCAACUAGGGAAUAACCUUGCGAAAGUAAGACUAAUACCCUAUAGUUUCCUCAGAUGUCAUCUGACGAGGAAUAAAGAUUUAUCGGUUGUGGAUGGGGAUGCGUCUGAUUAGCUUGUUGGCGGGGUAACGGCCGACCAAGGCAACGAUCAGUAGGGGUUCUGAGAGGAAGGUCCCCCACAUUGGAACUGAGACACGGUCCAAACUCCUACGGGAGGCAGCAGUGAGGAAUAUUGGUCAGUGGGCGGAAGCCUGAACCAGCCAAGUAGCGUGCAGGAUGACGGCCCUAUGGGUUGUAAACUGCUUUUAUACAGGAAUAAAGUUAGCCACGUGUGGUUAUUUGUAGGUACUGUAUGAAUAAGGACCGGCUAGUUCCGUGCCAGCAGCCGCGGUAA